CGUAGGUGGCAAGCGUUGUCCGGAAUUAUUGGGCGUAAAGCGCGCGCAGGUGGUUCUUUAAGUCUGAUGUGAAAGCCCCCGGCUCAACCGGGGAGGGUCAUUGGAAACUGGGGAACUUGAGUGCAGAAGAGGAUAGUGGAAUUCCAAGUGUAGCGGUGAAAUGCGUAGAGAUUUGGAGGAACACCAGUGGCGAAGGCGACUGUCUGGUCUGUAACUGACACUGAGGCGCGAAAGCGUGGGGAGCAAACAGGAUUAGAUACCCUGGUAGUCCACGCCGUAAACGAUGAGUGCUAAGUGUUGGGGGGUUUCCGCCCCUCAGUGCUGCAGCUAACGCAUUAAGCACUCCGCCUGGGGAGUACGGUCGCAAGACUG
Molecule: ribosomal RNA, 372 nt
Filed under: uncultured organism
Description: bacterial SSU rRNA
Rfam family: Bacterial small subunit ribosomal RNA
Source: RNAcentral